Long non-coding RNA from Apis florea (little honeybee), 1159 nucleotides. The record is from RefSeq and is a predicted model, not a curated record. NCBI's taxonomy places the organism in Eukaryota, Metazoa, Arthropoda, Insecta, Hymenoptera, Apidae.
UCGUGAUAAAUAAUAAAGUAAUUUUAACCGUGAGCCAUUAUAUGGAAUAAUGCUUAAAGCCUAAACAUAUGUUUUGUAUCGAAUAAAAUUUGCAUUUAUUCAACACAAGUAUUCGAGAUGGGGAAAGUCGGGAUGAAAUAUGUACACAUAUGUCGUUUUCAUUGGAAACGAUAAGCUACGAGUCUGAUUUUAAGGUUAUAAAAAAAUUCUUUUCUUCUCGCGAUAUAAACGCCUUAAACUAAGCAGUUUAUAAAAUAUCCGUGGUCGAAUAUCGAAACUCCUCGAUGCGUCGAAAUAGAUUUAGAUCGACAGUCUAUCUAUCGAUUUGUAAAAAUUUAAGUAUAAUUAAUUAAGAAAAAAAAAAAAAAAGAGAACGGAUAUGUCGCGAAAUUACGUUUUUAAUUAUGUUUUCAUCCGAUCACGGAUAUAUGCGCACAAAUGUACGUAAAUGGCAUCGUUAAUUCGAUGAAUCAAAUUUUUUCCUUCCAAUCGACUCGAUUCGUUUAUCCACGGGCAUUUUCGCGAUCUAUAAUGAUAUUUGUGAUACUAGAUAAUUUUUAAUCUUAUCGGUAUUAUCGGUAUAACGAAACCAAACAUCAAUCGUAAGCUUUUCUUCCUUCGCUUUCUCGAGAAACAAAUCACGAAUGACCACACGAUAGUACGAGAUUUGAUUAAUUAUCUUUACCGUGUACUAUCUCGAUUACGAUUAAAUCGUGACUGAUCGAUAUGCGUACGAUAUCCUACGCAUAUGCUUGUAACGGGAGAUAAUGCGUUAAGAUAUGUGACCGAUCCUCCGGAACAUGGCGAUCAAAUUCGCAAUUAUGUUGUUCGUUCGAAAAUGUUGCUAAUCGUGCGAUCUUAUAAGGUUUUCUAUAGAACGGAGACGCGAAAAAAAGUGAACGUGUUUGUAAACGAAAAAGAAAAUAUCGAACGAGAGAGGGAGUAAAAGUGGAGAGAGUAAAAAAAAAAAGUAAUUUGACGAACGAAAAGUUAGACGGAUGAUGGGAAAUCAAACGGAAAAUAGAGGAACAAAAAAAAAUCUUAGUUUAUAACAUAGAGGACUGCAGAGAGUAUUUUUUCUAGGAAUGUUAGUGGACCAGCCAAACAAAAAGAAUACAAAAAUAAAUAAAUAAAUAAAUAAAUAAAUAAAAUAAAAAAA